Herpailurus yagouaroundi (jaguarundi) is the source of this 792-nucleotide long non-coding RNA. RefSeq lists it as uncharacterized. NCBI's taxonomy places the organism in Eukaryota, Metazoa, Chordata, Mammalia, Carnivora, Felidae. The record is from RefSeq and is a predicted model, not a curated record. The transcript is spliced from 2 exons.
CCAUGAGAUCCUGACCUAAGCUGAAGUCAGAAGCUCAACCGACUGAGCCACUCAGGUGCCCCUGAAAGAGACCGCUUUAUCUUCAUGUAUAGAAAAAUGAGUUAUUGCUGGAAUCCUCCACAUUCGUAAAGCACGUCUCUCCCCAUCACUAAAUGGAUCUUCUGAGCAGGUCCUGCUGCGAAUGACUCUCCAGCCUCCCCGGGGACACUGGACCUUGCUGUGCCCCACCCUGCAGCUAGAUCCUUCUGUGAUAUGAGUACAAUGGUUCUACUUCCUGUCACCAUCUCAGGGGCGUCAUUUAAACCCAAGGUCAUCCAAAAAGUUACAGCCUGCACCUGCCCCCCACCCUCCAUGGCUGUCAGAAGAUACUGUACCCUUCCUCUGCUUCUAUUCUGGUCGCCCUUGUCCCUCCCUUGGUAAAAGACUCCCACUGGAAUCAGUAAAGGCAGGACCGGCAAAGCCAAGGGUGCUACAAGCCAUCCCUUUGUUCUGAGGACAGCUAGUUCCAAGAAGCGCUCUCUUAAAAAUGGGAACACCCUCAAGGGGAAGUCACCUGAAACGCAAAAUACCUCUGUGAAAAGGAGAAGCAGAUUCUACUGUAACUAACUCUGUGACCUUGGGCUUGAAGCCAUCUUUCUUCAAGUCUCAGCUUCCUCAUCCAAGAAAGGGGAGCUUGGACUGGACCUAUUUCUUCAGUUUCUGCAGGUUGAGAGAUUGCUUUGUGAAUCUGAUGAAAGUCACAGACUAUCUCCCUACAAUGGUGCACGUGUGCAAAUUAAAAACUAUAUAUAG